GGCAUCUGAAAAGGUAACGAAGAGGUAUACUGACAACAUCCAGAUAUGUCAUCCAUCUACGGAAGGGGUACCAUUCAACCAUCAGACAAUUUCAAUUCAGAAAGAGCAGCAGCUAAAUUACGGAGGGCCAUGAAAGGAAUUGGUACAGAUGAAAGGAUAGUUAUCGACAUUUUAACUAAUCAUAGUAACGAUCAACGACAAGAAAUUAAAGCGAAAUACCAAUCUAUGUAUGGUCGAGAUCUAAUCGAAGAUCUAAGAGCCGAGCUUGGUGGUCAUUUUGAAGAUGUUUGCACAGCUUUAUUAAUUCCGAAAUAUGAAUAUUUGGCAGAAUGUCUUUAUAGGGCCGUCAAGGGGGCUGGUACAGACGAAAACUGUAUUAUUGAAAUUUUGUGUACUCACGAAUGCUGGGAAAUAAAAGAAAUUCGAAAAAUUUUUCGCGAAGUGUAUGAAGAAGAUUUGAUAAAAUUUUUGUGUCAUGAUCUAAGUGGUGAUUUCAAGAAAAUCAUCAAGGCCUUGGCUAAUGCCAAUAGAGAAGAAGCAGAUAAGGUCGAUGAUGAUUUAGCAGAGAAAGAAGCUCAGAAACUUUUUGAUGCCGGUGUAGGAAAAUCUUGGGGCACAGAUACCGAAGUGUUUCUUCCCAUUCUUUGUUCUCGAAGUUAUCCCCAACUUCGUCUCAUAUUCGAAGCUUACGAAAGAAUUUCCGGUCAUUGCUUAUCGGCUGCUAUCGAAAACGAAUUUGAAGGAGAUGUUCGAAGAGUAUUUCUGGCUAUAGUUCACAGCAUAACGGACACAUGGGAUUAUUUCGCUCAUCAGUUGAACGAAUGUAUGAGUGGUCCGGGAACCAAUGAUCGAACAUUAAUUCGUAUAUUAGUAUCGAGAUCCGAGAUUGAUUUAGAAGAUAUCAAGAGAGUCUUUAGAAAGACAUUCGAGAAAGAUUUAACUGAAGCUAUUGCUGAAGAUACAAGUGGUGAUUAUAGAAAAAUACUUUUGAGGAUAAUCAGAAAUUGAUAAAAAAAAGUUUCGAAUUUUAAAACGAAGUGUAGGAGUAUUUAUAAAGCAUUUCAAUAUAGAAUAUAGAGAUGAUAUUUUCCUGUAGACGCAAACUGUGUAUUUUAUAUGUAGUCUUCGGUAUUUUCGACGAAAUAAAAAACAG
RNA transcript from Centruroides sculpturatus (bark scorpion), 1153 nucleotides. It is a transcript of the gene named annexin-B12-like, with no coding region annotated. The record is from RefSeq and is a predicted model, not a curated record. Lineage: Eukaryota; Metazoa; Arthropoda; Arachnida; Scorpiones; Buthidae. The transcript has 11 exons.